RNAcentral lists this ribosomal RNA (492 nucleotides) under uncultured bacterium. Its description in RNAcentral is "partial 16S ribosomal RNA". It matches the Rfam family "Bacterial small subunit ribosomal RNA", at positions 29 to 507 of the family's 1533-position model. The record is from RNAcentral.
AGUGAACGCUGGCGGUAGGCCUAACACAUGCGAGUCGAACGGCAGCACAGUAAGAGCUUGCUCUUACGGGUGGCGAGUGGCGGACGGGUGAGGAAUACAUCGGAAUCUACUUUUUCGUGGGGGAUAACGUAGAGAAACUUACGCUAAUACCGCAUACUACCUACGGCUGAAAGCAGGAGAGCUUCGCACCUUGCCCGUCAGAAUGAGACGAUGUCGGAUUAGCUAGUUGGCGGGGUAAAGGCCCACCAAGGCGACGAUCCGUAGCUGAUCUGAGAGGAUGAUCGGCCACACUGGAACUGAGACACGGUCCAGACUCCUACGGGAGGCAGCAGUGGGGAAUAUUGGGCAAUGGGCGAAAGCCUGAUCCAGCAAUACCGCGUGGGUGAAGAAGGCCUUCGGGUCGUAAAGCCCUUUUGUUGGGAAAGAAAAGCAGCAGGUUAAUACCCCGCUGUUCUGACGGUACCCAAAGAAUAAGCACCGGCUAACUUCGUG